This 251-nucleotide ribosomal RNA is filed under the name uncultured prokaryote. RNAcentral describes it as "partial 16S rRNA". It matches the Rfam family "Bacterial small subunit ribosomal RNA", at positions 525 to 775 of the family's 1533-position model. The record is from RNAcentral.
ACGGAGGGUGCGAGCGUUAUUCGGAAUUACUGGGCGUAAAGCGCGUGCAGGCGGGGAGGCAAGUCUGAUGUGAAAGCCCUGGGCUUAACCCGGGAAGUGCCUUGGAAACUAUCUUUCUUGAGUACUGGAGAGGUAGGGGGAAUUCCCGGUGGAGGGGGGUGAUGCGUAGAAAUAGGUAGGAAUAGCAGUGGCGAAGGCGGCUUUCUGGACGGUUACUGACGCUGAGACGCGAAAGCGUGGGGAGCAAACAG